RNAcentral lists this ribosomal RNA (497 nucleotides) under uncultured bacterium. RNAcentral describes it as "partial 16S ribosomal RNA". It matches the Rfam family "Bacterial small subunit ribosomal RNA", at positions 28 to 507 of the family's 1533-position model. The record is from RNAcentral.
GAUGAACGCUGGCGGUGUGCCUAAUACAUGCGAGUCGAGCGAACAGACGAGGAGCUUACUCCUCUGACGUUAGCGGCGGACGGGUGAGUAACACGUGGAUAACCUACCUAUAAGACUGGGAUAACUUCGGGAAACCGGAGCUAAUACCGGAUAACAUGUUGAACCGCAUGGUUCAACAGUGAAAGACGGUCUUGCUGUCACUUAUAGAUGGAUCCGCGUCGCAUUAGCUAGUUGGUAAGGUAACGGCUUACCAAGGCAACGAUGCGUAGCCGACCUGAGAGGGUGAUCGGCCACACUGGAACUGAGACACGGUCCAGACUCCUACGGGAGGCAGCAGUAGGGAAUCUUCCGCAAUGGGCGAAAGCCUGACGGAGCAACGCCGCGUGAGUGAAGAAGGUCUUCGGAUCGUAAAACUCUGUUAUUAGGGAAGAACAAAUGUGUAAGUAACUAUGCACGUCUUGACGGUACCUAAUCAGAAAGCCACGGCCAACUACGUG